GAUGAACGCUAGCGGCAGGCUUAAUACAUGCAAGUCGUGGGGCAGCACAGGUAGCAAUACUGGGUGGCGACCGGCAAACGGGUGCGGAACACGUACGCAACCUUCCUUUAAGCGGGGGAUAGCCCAGGGAAACUUGGAUUAAUACCCCAUAAGACAAUGGUGUGGCAUCACACAGUUGUUAAAGCUCCGGCACUUAAAGAUGGGCGUGCGGCUGAUUAGGUAGUUGGCGGGGUAACGGCCCACCAAGCCGACGAUCAGUAACUGGUGUGAGAGCACGACCAGUCACACGGGCACUGAGACACGGGCCCGACUCCUACGGGAGGCAGCAGUAAGGAAUAUUGGUCAAUGGACGCAAGUCUGAACCAGCCAUGCCGCGUGGAGGAUGAAGGCCCUCUGGGUUGUAAACUUCUUUUAUUGGGGAAGAAAUCUGUUUUUUCUAAAGCAGUUGACGGUACCCGAUGAAUAAGCACCGGCUAACUCCGUGCCAGCAGCCGCGGUAAUACGGAGGGUGCAAGCGUUAUCCGGAUUCACUGGGUUUAAAGGGUGCGUAGGUGGGCAGGUAAGUCAGUGGUGAAAUCUCUGGGCUUAACCCAGAAACUGCCGUUGAUACUAUC
Molecule: ribosomal RNA, 614 nt
Filed under: uncultured bacterium
Lineage: Bacteria
Description: bacterial SSU rRNA
Rfam family: Bacterial small subunit ribosomal RNA
Source: RNAcentral